RNAcentral lists this ribosomal RNA (732 nucleotides) under Bacillus sp. LBBMA TR17. RNAcentral describes it as "bacterial SSU rRNA". It matches the Rfam family "Bacterial small subunit ribosomal RNA", at positions 43 to 755 of the family's 1533-position model. Lineage: Bacteria; Bacillati; Bacillota; Bacilli; Caryophanales; Bacillaceae. The record is from RNAcentral.
UGUGCUAAUACAUGCAGUCGAGCGGACAGAUGGGAGCUUGCUCCCUGAUGUUAGCGGCGGACGGGUGAGUAACACGUGGGUAACCUGCCUGUAAGACUGGGAUAACUCCGGGAAACCGGGGCUAAUACCGGAUGGUUGUCUGAACCGCAUGGUUCAGACAUAAAAGGUGGCUUCGGCUACCACUUACAGAUGGACCCGCGGCGCAUUAGCUAGUUGGUGAGGUAACGGCUCACCAAGGCGACGAUGCGUAGCCGACCUGAGAGGGUGAUCGGCCACACUGGGACUGAGACACGGCCCAGACUCCUACGGGAAGGCAGCAGUAGGGAAUCUUCCGCAAUGGACGAAAGUCUGACGGAGCAACGCCGCGUGAGUGAUGAAGGUUUUCGGAUCGUAAAGCUCUGUUGUUAGGGAAGAACAAGUGCCGUUCAAAUAGGGCGGCACCUUGACGGUACCUAACCAGAAAGCCACGGCUAACUACGUGCCAGCAGCCGCGGUAAUACGUAGGUGGCAAGCGUUGUCCGGAAUUAUUGGGCGUAAAGGGCUCGCAGGCGGUUUCUUAAGUCUGAUGUGAAAGCCCCCGGCUCAACCGGGGAGGGUCAUUGGAAACUGGGGAACUUGAGUGCAGAAGAGGAGAGUGGAAUUCCACGUGUAGCGGUGAAAUGCGUAGAGAUGUGGAGGAACACCAGUGGCGAAAGGCGACUCUCCUGGUCUGUAACUGGACGCUGAGGAGCG